UAAGUUCUUAGUCGGGGUUGUUGAAAGCAAAACAAGAUUUAGUCGACACUAGAAUAAAGUUUAUGCAUAUAAGUAGCAAAUUAUAGUCCCUCUAAUGUAAAUUUUCCAAUGACCCUGAUUUGAGAUGAAAAGUUAAUUAGUGUCAUAAAAAACAGACCCAAACUUAUUCAAAUAUUGAACCAUCUUCUUGAUUAUGGCUCAAUCUCACUAAAAAUCCGGAGAAGAGAAUAAUAUGUGCAUCGCUCU
Molecule: long non-coding RNA, 246 nt
Filed under: Durio zibethinus
Lineage: Eukaryota; Viridiplantae; Streptophyta; Magnoliopsida; Malvales; Malvaceae
Description: long non-coding RNA (DZIB_LNC001932)
Source: RNAcentral